CCGGCGCACACGCCGGCGGCUGUCCGGCGGGCCCCCUCGCAUCGCGGUGCUGUGAACCUGGUCAGGUCGGGAACGAAGCAGCCAUAGCGGAUUGCCUCGAGUGCCGAGGAUCGGGCUCGCCUUUUUGCCGGGUUUGCGUCG
This 141-nucleotide signal recognition particle RNA is filed under the name Burkholderiales bacterium. RNAcentral describes it as "Bacteria_large_SRP". The stretch from base 26 to 124 matches the Rfam family "Bacterial small signal recognition particle RNA". Rfam says of the family: The signal recognition particle (SRP) is a universally conserved ribonucleoprotein involved in the co-translational targeting of proteins to membranes. Archaeal SRP consists of a 7S RNA and homologues of the eukaryotic SRP19 and SRP54 proteins. Lineage: Bacteria; Pseudomonadati; Pseudomonadota; Betaproteobacteria; Burkholderiales. The record is from RNAcentral.